RNAcentral lists this ribosomal RNA (482 nucleotides) under uncultured bacterium. RNAcentral's name for it is "bacterial SSU rRNA". It matches the Rfam family "Bacterial small subunit ribosomal RNA", at positions 28 to 507 of the family's 1533-position model. The record is from RNAcentral.
GACGAACGCUGGCGGCGUGCCUAAUACAUGCAAGUCGAGCGGGGAUUAUGCUUGAUCGCUUCGGUGAGACGGCAUAUAUCCUAGCGGCGGACGGGUGAGUAACGCGUGGGUAAUCUACCUCGUAGUUCGGGAUAACAGGCCGAAAGGCUUGCUAAUACCGGAUGAGUUCAUGCUUAUGCAUAUAGGCAUGAAGAAAGGGCUAGCCCGCUAUGAGAUGAGCCCGCGUCCCAUUAGCUUGUUGGUGGGGUAACGGCCUACCAAGGCAACGAUGGGUAGCCGGCCUGAGAGGGUGUACGGCCACACUGGGACUGAGACACGGCCCAGACUCCUACGGGGGGCAGCAGUAGGGAAUUUUCGGCAAUGGGCGAAAGCCUGACCGAGCGACGCCGCGUGAGGGACGAAGGCCUUCGGGUUGUAAACCUCUGUCAUGGGGGAAGAAGGAAGUGACGGUACCCCAAGAGGAAGCCCCUGCUAACUACGUG